This 306-nucleotide long non-coding RNA is filed under the name Daucus carota (carrot). Its description in RNAcentral is "long non-coding RNA (DCAR_LNC004980)". Lineage: Eukaryota; Viridiplantae; Streptophyta; Magnoliopsida; Apiales; Apiaceae. The record is from RNAcentral.
AUAAUUGUUGCAUCAUGCAUUUUAACACUUAGGAGCACAAUAUCUAGAUUUUAAUUUUUGUUUUUAAAUUUUCGUACCUUAAAUUGUGGUGAUCGCUGGAGGACCCCAAGGUACGUUAAUUUCUUUAUUUCUCUAGAUUAGGACACGUAGUUUAAAUCAUCCAUAUUUGUUUACCGCUUUUAUUAUCUCGUUGUGUGGUGCAUCAUUUUAAAUAAAUCUUAAGGGCAAAAACCACUCAUAAGAUAAGGGAAGGGAUUUCAUCACUCUUUCCUUGGCCCACAACAAUUUAAUUCUUCAUUUUGCAUU